AAUUCAAGAGUCUAUAGUCAUAUUAAAUUCAAGAAUCUCAUACAAAAACAAGCUGAUUCCUUCUUUAAAUUUAAAUUUUAUUAAAAAUAUUCAUAAUAUCCAUCCCCAUAAAUCGGAAGUAAUAAUCAUUGGCCAGGAAAAGUGUCUGGGGCUCUGAAUUCUCACAACCAUGGAGAUAGCUUCCAUAGACCGUUUACAUAUGGUAAGCAACAAGACGUUGUGUAGACGUCUAAAUAUUGAUCAUUAUAUGAUUACAAACGAAGCUCCAAGCACGUCUCUGGCUUUAUUCAAAUUAAAGACGAGGUUUCACUGAUGUUUAAAUUUAUGGACUCGGGAUUGAUGGGGUAAAGAUCAUGGGCAGAUGUAGAGGAAUUUCCAAUCCAUGAUUUAUCAGAUGGAGGAAAGAGGUCUUUUGUGUUGUUUAAACUCUGGUCCAUGACCUGCUGAUAGUGUCCUUUGAGACGUUUGGAGUGUAAAUCAUCACCAUAAAUGCUAGGAUCUGAGAUCAUCUCCUGGAUGCUGGUCUGUCCUUCAAGCAUGCUCACCACUUCUGACAUUGCAGGCCUUAGAGAUGGAGAUGCAUUGGUGCAUAAGAGAGCCAAUUUGAUCAUCCUCUCAGCCUCUUCCUUGUUGAAUUCAGACUGCAGCUUUGGGUCCACUAUCUCCAUUAAAUUUCCCUUUUUUUGCAGUACAUGGGCCUGUGAAAGCAAAAGGUAAAGUAUUUGCAGAGAGUAGUGCCUAAUGCAUCAUGAAUUCAAGAUAGCAACAAGAACAGACUUGUAACUUACCCAGUCAAGAAGACAUACGAAUUCAUUUGUUGUCCUGUGACUCGAAUUGCUUCUUCCACUGACAAUUUCUAAAGCAACAACACCAAAACUAUAAACAUCUGCUUUGUCUGUUAAAUAACCCCACAGCGCAUAUUCUGGAGCCAUAUAUCCUCUGAAAUCAGAACCAUGCCAGAUUAGUGACUCUACCGGAGUAUAUUGCGAUCACUGAAUAAAGGAAGCUGCAAAUUAAGUCUGAUUAAAACUUACAUGGUUCCAGCAACACGAGUGCUAAUGUGAGUGUUCUCCUCUUCAUUGAGCUUAGCUAGUCCAAAGUCUGAUAUCUUGGCACUUAGAUCUUUGUCCAGUAAUACAUUUGUACCUUUGAUGUCUCUGUGAACAAUCCUGAUUGCAGAUUCUUCAUGGAGAAAUGCUAAACCUCUGGCUAUUCCAACACAUAUCUUAUAUCUUGUUGGCCAAUCCAGCAUCAGAAAACUUGUUUCUGAACCUGUAGCUAAUCCAGUAAAGGAGGCUCACUAAAUAAAAUGACUUCAACUUUGCUAGUCGAUACUAUUAUUGAAAAAAGAAGAAGAAGAUUUUACUGGAAAGUAAUCAGAUGCCAUUAUGGUUACCAAAAAGUGCUUUGGCGAGGGAGUUGUUUUCCAUGUAUUCGUACACCAGAAGCAACUGAUCUCCUUCAAUACAGCAUCCAUAAAGCUUUACAAGAUUGGGAUGCUGUAAACCAGAUAUCAUGCCUAUUUCAUUCACAAAUUCUCGGUUUCCUUGCCUGGAUUUAGGAGAUAGCUGCUUAACAGCAAUAAGAGUUCCAUCUGACAAUUUACCCUGCAUUGAAUUUAUUGUAGACAUUUUGCAUUAUCAAACAAAAGGUCCAAUGAUCAACUGGGAUAAUAUGCAAGAGAAUAUUAGAGUGACAGACCUUGUAUACGGAGCCAAAUCCACCUUCUCCAAUUUUGUCAGCAGAAUCAAAAUUGUUAGUGGCAGCUCUCAGCUGCCUCAAAGUGAAGGAACCAGUUUUCAGAUCUAGCCCCUUGAGAUCUGCACAUAAUUGUUGGUGACACAAGGGAAAUGCUUCAACAUCAUCAAUGCGCGGAUGUGUUAUAUUCUAGAUGUUUGCGUGUGUAAUAGCUGCUAAUUAACUAAUUAAGGAAAAGGCUUUAGCACGCAGAUGAUUGAUUUCAAUGUACCUCGUUCUCUCAUGAACUUGUCUCUAAAAUAGAAUUUCCAACAAAUGACACCCAUUACCAAGAAAACAAGGAGUAAGGCUGAAGUGACAGCUCCAAUCACGAUAGGUGUUUUACUUGCUUCUCCAGGUUCUGAAAUUAAACAAAGUUACACGUACAAACACAGAAAGCCAAUGGGACAAUAAAUCACUGUAGGGGAGCAGUUCACUUCUCACCUGGACAAUAAGUACUCUGGCCUGAAAACCACAAACCAUAAAAUGCUUCUUAGAUGGUAUAAUGAACUGAGUAGAAGCUUACAUACAGUUAAGAUGAAAAUCAAAACCAGGUUCAUAAGGAAGAAUUUGUUUGUUAAUUAUGCAACUGGUUGGGGAAAAGACCAAGUCUAAGUCUAAGGGUGGUGAGAUUUAAAUUCAUAAUUACUUGGUUAAUAAAAUUCUAAUAUCAUUGCUCGGUUUUCAUUUUAACUUAAUUGAUAAAGGUCAUUGUAUAUGAAUGAAAUCGCAAAGUCAGUGACUUUCAAAUGAUAUGCUGGGAAUAUAUAUAUAAAACAUGCCUGAGCAUACAGUUAUUGCAGAAAUAAGAGGACCGUAAUUUCCUCUUUUUGGAAUGCAAGUAGUCCCUUUUCCAUUCCAGUAUAAACGGAUCUCCAAGGUAGUGUCUGUCACAUUGGCAUUGAAUACUAUAGAAGUUUUGUUAGAUCCAUUAGCAGCCUCCUCAAUAUUAAAAUCUUUUUUCUCUAGUUUCCCCUGGAAAACAAAUCCCAAGUUAAAAGGAUCUUUUUGAAAAAAAAAUCAUCUUUUUGGAUAAUUUAAUCUCAAUUACCUGAAUAUAAAUGUCAAAAAAGCGUUUUCCAACUCUUUUGUACAAUUCGUCACCUGUGAAUUGUAUCUCAGCAAAGUCGAGUUUAACAGUGUACAUCCCAUUUUCUAGACAAUAUCCAUAAUAAGUGAGAGAGAUGGCAGCUCUGCGUGCUGUAGAAAACAACGGUUCAGUCGAGUAGUUUAAACGAAGUCUAUAUCCGAGGCUUUUAUCUUCAUCAUCCAUAAAAUCUCCAGUGUUGCUGAAUCCCCAGUUUGAUUUUUUAUUGGAAUAAAUCGUAGCAGCAUCACCUUUAAUGCUGUCGUCACCUUCAUACAAGAUACUCCCAUUGGUUUCAUCCGGUCCACCACAGUUUACAUGGAAUGAACGAUAACCUGCAAUACGUCAAAUUAGUACACCAUUAGAACAGUUGCAAAUAUUCUUCUCAUAUCGAAGGGGCGUGUAAGUGUUUAGAUUUUUGGAUCCCUUUGCUCUACAACUAGAGCUGUUACUCUACUAUAUAGCUUCAAAUCGAUUAGUCAUUGGCUAAUUAAUACUUUUCCAAGUGGCUUGUCACAAUCAUUGUUCAACUCGAAUCGAUGGAGGUUGUUCUAUCAACCUUUGGUUUCCGAUUAGUGAUAUUGAUGGUGAAAAUGUGAGGUGCUCAAGUUCUGCUUGAGGCCAUGUUUUGGUUACAGAUAAAUCCUUACUUGUCCAACGAAACUGAGAAUGAAUACAUCCUGUGUGCAGAAUAGAAUGUAGAAUUAAGGCAAAAAAAUCUACAUUGAAAUUAGUACUCGUGCUCAAAUAAAUACACUGACACUGAUAUUAUAGUAGAUUACUGAUUUCGGUAUGUUGAUAAAUUUGAAACAGAUGUGCUUUGAUUUUAAAGAACUUCGUUACUUCUCAUUUAAGGAGGGAAAAGAAUAUCAUACUUUUGGGGCACUCAAGCAUGCCUGAGCAUGGAAGAAGUCCGCUUCUGUAAGACAUGGAAAUUAUAGUAAGAAUUUCAAAUGGUUCUGCAAACUGCAUUAUAAGAAUCAGAUAUCGAAACCAUGCCUCAAGAAUUAGCAUUAUUUCAUCCCCAAAAAAAAUAUCAUAUUAUUCAAGUAAAAUAUUCAUUUUAUGUUUGCUCAUUGAGAAAAUCGGUGCAUUGCUGUUCCCUCUUCAUGAGUGUUUGUGCUUAUAUCUUGGGGUAAAUGAAUAAUAAAGCAUGUCACAUUCUUAUGUUCUUCAUUCAUUCAUUCAUUCAGCAUUAAUCAACAACGUAUAUAAUUGAUGAUUUCUAUUGGUAUUUUUGCAAGCAGUUUACAUAACAUGAUCUAAAUUAAAACGUUCAAAAUGCACAAGUUAGCAUAUAUAAAAUUUGCAUAACUGAUUUGUAAUAGUAAAAAUAUUUUGAGCAUAAAAGCCACAAGGACAUGGCCUGGUAUAUCUGAUCCUGGGAUACCAAGUUUGUGCUGAGAAAGAAAAUCUGGAUAGGAUUUAAAGAUAAAAAUAUAAAUUGCAGAUUUAACUCCAAAGAUAUUCAGUUAAAAUCCUGCUUAGCAUCUGAUAUAUAAUGUAUCCCCCCCCCUGAAAACUAUAUAUAUAAGAAAUCCCUUUAAAAUAUCCCAAAAGGGAAUUUUGAAAUUUUAUCCUGCAAGAGCUCCAUUUCCAAAUUAAGGUUAUCCAUAGGGACCUCAUUUCAUCCUAGAUUCUGCUAAGCAUAAAUACACCUCUUUUACAUUGUAUCAGUUGUGGUUCUUUUUCCUUGGAACAAGAUUAUUGGACUUGGUAUGACAACUACCAGAUUGGAUCUCCAACAACAUGAAAUACCAAAAAUAUCGCUCUCCAGAGUGUAUAAGAGGAGCCUUACAAGUUAUUCUUGAUGAAUGAACUCCUGUACGUGUUUAUAUCCCUGGUUUAUAGAUUCAAAUCAUUAAGUUUCGCAGCAACCAGGAGCAUCCCAAAUUUAAGAAAAUAGAUAUCCUUACUGGGCAUCUUGACAGCUUGGCAGCCGUGAAAAGUUAUUGUAGGAAACAUCACUGCAAGAAGCCAAGGGAAUCAUAAGUAUGAAUAUGAACCCCAACAAAAUUAAUAAUAAGGGAACAAAUGAAAUGCUAAGCAAGAUUAAAAAAAAAACCCACAUAUUUCCAGAAACUAGGCUUUCGUUGAGGCCCUAUAUAUGUAGCCUUAGAUUAUCAAGAUUCACUCAGAAGACCACUUUAUAAAUAUUAAUGGUUGAUCAAUCAUCAGCAGUUUUAUCUUCACAAGAAAGCAGAGAAGUUGAACAGAAUAUCUAAACUGAAAUAACUGAAACCGGUGAUACAUUUCAGAAACAUACAUUUUGUUGCCUGAGUUGAUAAAUGAGUCUGGGACACUUCCAGUCAGCUUGUUUCCACUAAAAAACCUGGUUUUCAAAAGCCAGAUUGAUUCUUUCAGCAUAAUUCACUCCUCCAUCCAUGGUCAGAUUCCAAAUAUUCAAAUUUAAAUACUUACAUAAAAUCAUAUAUUUUUGCAUCUCGAGGAAUUCCUCCUUCCAACUUGUUGAAAGUUAAAUCCCUGCAAAAGAUUACAUUAAAAGAUUUUCCAACUUUAGUUUUCGGAAUAUUCCUUGCAUCUUUUUGCAAGUAGUUUUGCAAUAGACAAGCUGGAGCUUCUGCUAAAUGCAAAUACCUGCAUUAUUUUUACUUAUGUUUCAUUUGGUUCAUGGUUAAACACAAACCAAGUUAAAUGUCAAGGAUGUAAAAGUGUUUAGAAUGUGUGGAAGAAAGUUUAGAAAUAAGGUUCUAAAUGUUGAAGGUAAAUUGAUUUCUAGAAAUUAGUUGAAUCAGUCGACUGGUUGAUAACAGGUCAAUCAAUUGAGACAAAGCGAGUGGUUGGAUUAAGAAUCAGUCAACCGGUUCAGUCGUCAUAAUACAAUUCCUGUUUAGAUUAGGAUUUCCUUGAUUUCCUUGUAUUAGUUUAAUUUCUUAAUUAUUUAGAACUUUAUGUUUAUAAAAAGGCUUGUAAUUCAACAUUACUAUAAAUAUAAAAAGAAAGAAAAUAGCUAAGGGGGCUUAAAGAGAAACACUUAACAAAAGUAUUCGUUUCUCUCAAUCUUCUUCUUGUUCUUGAGUUUUUGACCUUAUAGUAUUGUGUUGAUCUUAUACCACACUUGUUUUACAUUAUAGUGGUCAAUACCGCCGCCAAACAUGUAUGAGAAGUUUUGGAAGAAUCAAAUUAAGGAGUUGACAAUGUGAGAAAGGUACCAUGUUUAGAAAAGCUAUGUGGCGACUUUGAAAAGUUACAUAUAUUUGAAUUAGAGAAUAUUUCAGAAUAUUUUGCAAGAGUAUUGGUCAUAUACAAUCAAAUAAGGAGAUAUGGAGAGAAGAUGGAAGAGACACGUGUGGUAGAGAAGAUUCUACUCUCGCUACAAAAAAAGUUCCAUUAUAUGGUUAUCGUGAUAGAGUAAUCACAGAAUAUAGAUGUUCUCUCAAUAUAAAGUCUCAUGGAAAAAUUACAAGUCCAUAAGGAAAGAGUCGAUGAAAUUCAAAAGGAUGUAGACGCAUAAACACUUAUUUCAUAGCAAGAUAGUUCUGGAUUUUCCUAAAGGGAUAGAGGACAUGGACAAAACAAAUAAAGAGGAGUAAGAGGCAGAUUUGAAAAGGGAAGCCAAGACAACCUUAAUAGAUCAAUCAGUUGACCGCAUGAAACAAACUAGUUAAUUGGUUACAUCGAAAAUGACAAUCCAAAAUCCAGGUUUGACAAAUCAAAAGUUAAAUGCUAUAACAGUCAAAAGACAGGUCAUUAUGCUAGGGAUUGCUAGAUUCCAACCAAGAGGAUUGAGGAGAAUGAAAAUAUUAUAUAUAAUAUAAGAAGAGAAAGAAGCCACCCUAGUAUAAUUUCAUAAUAAGAGAAUGCGAGAAAAAGAGAAUUGGUGGUAUCUAGAAAAUUGAGCUAGCUACCACAUGUGUGGAGAUAAAGACAAGUUCAUAGAGCUUGAUAAAACAAUUAGAGGUAAUGUCACUUUUGCAGAUCAUUCAAAAGUUGUCAUCAAAGAAAAAUAAAUGAUUUUUGAUUAAAUUAAAAGAUGGAAUUCAUCAAUGUAUUUAUGAUAUCUAUUAUAUACUAACGGUGAAAAGCAACAUAUUGAGCUAAGGACAAUUGUUGGAGAAGGGAUAUGAGAUUAAGAUGAAAGAUCAUACUUUAACAUUACUUGACACUAAAAUAGUUAUGAUUACAAAGAUAACCAUGACAAAUAAUAUAAUAUUGUUGUCAAAUUUCAUAACCCAUUUUUUGAUUAUUUCCCAAGUUCACUUAUUUUUCUUCCAAAAAAAAAAUAAAUAAAAUGAAGACCAGUGACGCGGAGAAAGAAGGUCAAGGAGGAUCUCAAACAUAUAGGAAAAUCAACCUAUAAUUUUGGAUGAAAUUCGAAGCCUAAUUGUAUCUCAUUAUACUCGAGACUAAGAAAACAAUGUAGAUUCAAGGUCAAAUUAAAUGAUUAUUGGAUGAAUCUACAUAGAAAUUGUUAGAGAAUAAUAAUAUUAAGCUAUUGGGUUGAAAUGGUGUUUUGACAUGGUAUUAGAGCCUUGAUGACCAAGCGGUCACGAGUUUGAAUCCCACCAUCCCCAUUUAUUUGAUAAAAAUCAAACACAAGGUAAUUUAGGUCUGUGCAAGUUUCAAGCUCAAAAGACUUUCACUUGAGGGUGUGUGUUAAAGAAUAAUAAUACUAAUUAUAUCUCGAGACCUCACCUAAAAGUUUAAGCUAUUGGGUUGAGAUGCUUCUUUGACAUAAAUGAAGUUCAUAGGCAUAAUUAAAUUUUUAAUAGGCCAAUUUGAUCUAAUCAUGGGGCAAAUUAAAGUUUAAUUAUGUUUGAAAAUUAAUUUGAGUCGAAUUGAAGGAUUUAAUCAAGUGUAAAGAUGUAAUUAUGCUUUAAAUGAGUUAAAUUAAUUUUAUCAGGGGCUUAACUGGUAAAAAAUUAAGUUUGAAAGCCCAAUUUGGAUUUAUUUGAAAAGAUUUGAAUUUUAAGAAAUCAAAUUUAAUUUUUACAAAGUCAGGUAGUUGAAAGCAAGGCAAAAAUACAAGAAAAUCAAAAUUUUAUAAUCAAAUAAAAAUUAAAUUAAAACAAUUCGCAGUUAAUAACCAUUUUGCAGUGUUAUUAAAAUAUAUUCAUGUUUUUAACUUGUAUGACAUUGCAGCGCAUGUAAGGUGAUGAGGGAAGGUGUUAAGACUUACAGCGUUUUCAGAGAACCCGAUGUCCACACAUCUCCUGGGAUCACUCCAGCUAAAUUGAUGUUUCUCAAAACCCUUCAAAGAAAUUAAAGAUAGGCUUAAUUAGUUCUCAAUAGAACAUGUUCUCAAGUUUAUUUUAGACAUUUUACGGACAGUUGACGAACAAAUUUUUCACUCUGGGGGGGAUGGUGGUUAAAUUAGACUCUGGUCCAGACAUAUCAGUGAUCCUCCUGUACAUUGAAAACAAAAGAAUGUUAUAGUUCCCUUUAUUCUUUCUGCCUUCUUCAAAGAGGAAACACCAAAAUUAUUGUAUUUAUUGCUGUGCAUCUCAGGAAGUAGUUUGACUCACAAAUCUCUCAACUUCUCUAAAGAAAGAAUGGCAGGAGGUAUGGGCCCUUCUAGUCCACUUGCGUAUAAUUCACUUCGUUUGUCCAAAGAGGAAAAACAAAAUAUCAGAAUAUUGUGCAACAUGUAGCAGAGAAAUGAAUUAACGAAAUUAUCAUGCAGAUAGAGAUCCUCACAGUCUAACAAGAUAACUCCAGUUCCCAAUGAAAUCAGGUAUUCUGCCACUAAGAUUAUUAUCACUUGCACGACUGCACAUUGCAAAACCGAAUUAAGGAAACCAGAUGCUAUUGAAUCAUCAAAAACUGUGUUUAAAGAAGAAAGGAAUUGAUUACUUACAAAUCAGUCAAGUUUAGCUUAGCGAGAGUAUUUGGCAAGUAUCCCUCCAACUGAUUGGAGGAAAGUAUCCUGCAACCAUUAAUUCAUAGCACAGCAUCAAAAUUGCAACUAAAAUGCCUAGCUUGCGUUGGUUUAAUAAUGAUGAGCAGUUAAAUGCCUUACAGGGCUGUUAAGUUGACAAGAUCACCAAGCUGAGAAGGAAUAGUACCAGAAAACUGAUUUGCUUCAAGGGACCUUCAUGUAUUUGUAUUUGAUUAAUUGACAAAAAUAAAUUUAGUGAACCAAGUAAGCUAGCAUUGUCAAAAACAGAAACAGAAAACAAAACAAAUGAUAAAUCAGCAGAACAUAUAUUUAUGACUUCAAUACAUACAAGUAAGUAAGGCUACGAAAACUUCCCAAGUACCCAGGAAUAUUUCCUGACAAGCGAUUGGAUGUAAGUGAGCUGCAUGCAUAAAAUGUAUCUAGUUAUGGUGAAUUCUGCCUUGUGUAUGAACUGGUAAGCAAAGAUGAGGUGAAUGAACUUACAGGUUUGUCAAAUGUUUCAUUGAAGCCCAUUCCUCAGGAAUAUUGCCAGAAAUGUAGUUGCGAGUUAGGUCACUGUAACAGAUAAUAUAUCUUCAAUACUUGAGAAUUUAACUUCUUCCUUUAAAAAAUCUUCUCAACCCAGUAGUUUAAGCUGUUAGGUGAGGUUUCAGUAUAUGAUUUAUAUUAUUCUCUAACACACUUCCUUAAAUGAAAGCCUUUUGGGCUUGAAAUUUGCAUAGACUCAUAUUACCUUAUGCUUAAUUUCUAUCAAAUAAAUAAGGAUAGUAAGAUUCAAAUUGGUGACUGAUUGGUCAUCAAGGUUCUGAUACCAUGUCAAAAAACCAUCCCAACUCAAUAGCGUAAGCUGUUAGGUGAGGUUAUAUGAUAUAAUUUAUAUUAUAUAUACUCAAAUUUUACGGGAUCAAACCUAAACAUUAUUGUUCAAGAUUUACUAUAUUUUUCUAAUUAAUUUAAAAUUGUUUAACCUAUUUAAUGUAUAUCUCUUUAAUUAUUUUAAUUUCUUGGUAUCCGAAUAGGUUUUAGAGUUGUAAUAUUGAGUUUUUGAUUAUUAAGAUUACUGGAAAGAAAUCAUUCAAUAAUAAUAAAAAUGAAUUAAGGUUUAUGUAUUUUUUUUAUUCUCGUUUGUUAGGUUUAAUUAGCUGCGUCAAAUAUGCUUCUUCCUUUUUAUUAUUAUUAUUAUUAUUAAGGUAUUUCCAUUCCACAAUUUAUAAAUUAGUCGUUAAAAGUUACAUUGAGAUUCUACAAGCAAUACACAUAGAAACAGAAAUAAAAUAUAUCCUGAAAAGAUUCUUACAGAUAUUUGAGAUAUGUAAGGCUGGCCAUUUCAGGCAGGAGCUUGCCUUGAAGACUGAGCGUUUUGAGAGAUCUGUUAUUGAAAAAAACAUCAUGGGUACAUAAACAAAUGAUUAGAUGAUUGAAAAAUAAACUAAAAAAUUUACAGAUAAUUAAUUUAAACAUAGGAGCAAUGUAUCCAAUCUAUUUAAAAAUGGGUUAAAAAAUAAAUAUAGAAGACAAAAAAUAAUAAUCUUACAAUGACGUGAUAUGACAAUAACUAUCAUUAUUGAGGUUGAGGGUGCAAUUGCAUACGGUGGUGCUAUUGGCUUCUGAAUCUUGGUUGCAAGCAUCGGCCAACUCCAAGGGUUGCCCACCCUGUGUCAGUGUCUUGUCAAUUUGUUUUAACGCCGUCACUAGUUUAAGGAUCAUGCAUCCACGGAAAAUUUUAUCAAAAUAUAUAUAUAUCCAUAACAUAACUCAUAUCACCCAAAAAAAAAAAAACUAAUAGUUUUCAAGUGGUAUUCUAACACAAUAAAAUGGUAAAAAAUAGAAAUAAAUAAUUAAAAUAUAUAAAUAAAGUAAACGGAUUGUAUAUUAACUCCACAAUUUAAUUAUAAAUAAUUCAAAGUUCUCCUUUUCAAUUUGUUGCAUGUAUUUUAGGAGAAUUGGAAAUCAAAAACACUUUUUUAUUAACUCGUUUAUAUGUUUUAAUUUUUUUUACUGAAUAAAUUUUUUUAAUCCCACUUAUUAUUUUAAAUUAAUUUUGUUUGUUUACUCUUAAUAUCAAAUACGUAUUGUUUGUUUUUCUUAAUAAAUAGAACAUGUAAGAUAAAAAAAAAAAGGACACCAAAAAUAUUUUUGAUUUUUUUAAAAAAUGAAUAAUGCUUUGACAUAGUGUUAGAACAUAAAAUAAGUUUCAAAUCUUAAUCAACAGCUUUCACAUAAAAAUAAUAUGAAGAUACAACUUAUUUACGUUUAAGUUAUUGGAUCCAAAAUUGUAAAAGGUAUGGUCAUAUUGUGUGUAUUUACACAGGCUAUCAAAUGAUAUACGAGAGACAAUAACUAGCUUUCCUUCUUGUUAAUGUAUCGACCAUGUGAUAACAUUUACAGAAUUGAAGAAAAUUACAAUAAUCAUGAAAUAACAAAAAUCAUCCAAAAGUGAAAAACAAAACUCCUUAUUAUAUCCCAGAUCCGCGUAAUUACUAUAUAGUAAAAAAACAAUAGUUAAAUAAGGGAAUUUUAAAAAUUAGAGGACAAAAUACUAAUAAGGGAACUCAAAAAAUAAAAACUAACUUGAAUUAAAUAAUAAUAUUAAUAUUAUUCAUAUAUUGAAAAAUCAUGCCCCAUUUUCUUAUGUUCUUUUUCUCUAAGUUUUUUUUUUUUUAGUUCAAUGGGCAUUUUUUUGGUAUAAAAAAGGUUUUUGUAAUAUUUUCUUAAAAGUGAGAGAGGUUUUAUUAAAUAUUCAAACUUUUUUUCAUACUCUUUGUAGUUUCCAAAUACCUCGAGAAUUAUUGUAAUUUGCAGAAAAAAGAAAUCUGACACACAUUAAAUAAUUUAUUCAUCUUUAAUAUCAUCCCGGCCCAAAUGAGCAGUUUCCUGUUGGAUGCACAGUUGAGAGUGAAUGUACGGAUUUGAGCCCUUUCUUUUCAGAAUUUCCUUUUAUGUCCUUACCUCUUUACUUAUUUUUCUGUAGCUGCAGUGUAAAGUGAAGAAAUGAUUCUCCAAUAAAGUAAUUCAUGAGCAAUGAACAAUAAAUUUAUAUUAAUGAAUUUCUUAAUCUUAAAGUAUGAGGUUAUACGUAGUUGUAAGCAAAUCUGUGGAUAUGUGACUUAGCACACCAAUGGAAUGGAAAGUCGUGGAAAUUAAUUAGCUCAGAUUAUUACAACACUCCAUAUAUUAUUGCAAUAAAAACAAAGCUUACUCUCUUACCUUCGUCUGGAUGUAACUGAUAUGAGACAACCAAAGUAGCAGAACUGAAAAGAGUGAUCACGACCACCAUUACUCGGCAAAACUGAAGAAGUCCAUGCGGAGGCUGGAGCGUCGUGAACAUGUUGGGUGGAGGAGUAGGAAAGAAGCUUGAAUAAGUUUUCAUUUUAUGAGGUACGUACUUGAUUUAUACUGGACGUACGUGGGGACAAAUUCUUAAAUUUGUGAGAAUGACCUUUAGCCACUAGAUUUGAUGAUUCCUUUCAUUUCUAUCUCUCCAAACCGAUAAUUAAUUAUGAGUUGGACAAGUUUAAGCUGCUCAUCUCUCCAGCCAUUCAUUUCUCCCCUUCUCUUUUCCUUCAUCGGCCUAAAUUAAUGAUAAAAUUAACUACAACACGGUAAUACUAAUUCUUUGGCCGAGUCCAAUAAGAAUUAUGGUGUGUGUGUAUAUAUAUAUAGAGGAUAUUUUUAAGAUAUUUAUCUUAAAAAAUCUAUAUAAACCAAUAUUUUUAAAAGCAUAAAGAAAAAGGUUAAAAGGCCAAAGUCUCUAGAUAACACAAGUCUAAUAUAAAAUUUAAAUAAGAUUUAAGUAACAUUCAAAUCUAAAGAAUACUCACUCUUCACGUCACCUGUACAAAUACUAUAUUGACUUAAGCAUUAAAAUGUUUUUUUUUUGUAAGUGUUACAAGCUAGGCCCACCAGGUCCUCCGGAUCCAAUUUUAUUAGCCUAGGAAAAGCGCUCACAAUCUUUCUCUUGAGAAUUUUUCCAGCCUCAUCAAUUGACAUCAUUUGUGGAAAAUAAACAAAAAGUCAAUUCAUUAAUGUUUUUUAAAAACUUUUUCAUGGCUGACAAUAUAUCUACGGCUACGCCAACAACACAUGAUGCUAGCAGCUAAGCCAAUGACAUAUGAAGCCAACAGCUAAACCAACGGUUAAGCCGAUCGAUUACGCCCCAUAUGGCUAUGUUAGUGGCUAUACCCAAGGAAACACCCACGAUGAUGCUCACAACUACGUCUAUGGCUAUGCCCCAACGCUACACCCACAAAUAACUUUUGUAUCACCCGGAUAUCGCGACGACCGUUAAAAUUUUUCUUGGAAAAAGAAUAAAUAUCUAGCAUCUUGUUAUUCGGGAAAACGGUCUCGUUUAAGGAGUUGUCAUCUAGUCUAAAAUUGCGAAGUGUUUUGCCAUCUAGUCUAAAAUUGCGAAGUGUUUUGUCCUCCCUUUUUUAAUUUUACUAUCAUGUUCUUGACUCUAGCGUCAAUAAAUAGUGCCUGUAAAUAUUUCCAACUCUGACAUUGGUAAAUAUUGCACAAACCCAAAAAACAUAUGAUAUUGUUGACUUUGACGCCAGUAAAUAAGUUCGUGAAAUUUUGAAUUUUGAAUGAAGAAGAAACAAUUUUUCUAUGUCUUUUUCUUUUUGUUUACGCUUUUAUUGUUUACUCUAUUUAGACAACAAUGAAAAAAAAAAGUAUUAAACAACAUAUUUGCAUUUAACAGUAAUGGUCCAUAAAUUGAGUAUAUUGCAGAAAAAAAUAAACAAAACGCAAAAGAAAAAAAAAUAAAACAAAGCACAAGGGGUCCACAAAUAAAUCCAUGAAGAUCCCCAUAUAUUUUAGAAUUUUCUAAUAUUAAAAAAGGGCUUGUUCGACCAAAUUUUAAAAUAAAAGAGAAAUAAAAUAUAUUGAAAAGGCAGCUUGUUUUGCCAAACACACUCUCAUCUUUAAAUAGGGGCUUGUGUGGUAGUCUUCCAGCACGCCUUUUCCUUCUUGGGAGGAGGAUAAAGCUCGUUGGGGUGUUAGUAUCCUGCUGGGUCUCGAAUUCCAGGAGUCCUGCCACUAGAGGGCUGUUGGUGGUGGCUUUCUUCACGCCUCCAAUGGCAUCUUGUGGGAGAUGACCUGGGAAAACAGUGAUGGAAGUCGUGGGGAUUGCCUUGCGUUUGUGGGUUGUCUGUGGUAAUCGGCCUUUUCCUUUGCAGGGUGACUCCUCCGUUUCUAGAAGAAGAAGACAAUGAAUAGAAAUGAAAAAACGACGCUAUUUCUGGACUAGGGUAACCGUUUUUCAAUUUGGUCCUCUAAGUUUUAACAUUUGUUUUAAUCGGACCCUUGGGCCAAAUUGUAAUUGAACACCUACAUUGUGGCACCGUUUACAUAAUGGUCCUUGGACUUUAAUUUCUUGCAAUUUGAACCUAAAUUAGUUCUGAGCUUUAAUAUUUCUUCAAUUAAGCUCAUUGGUUUCAUUAAUUAAACUAAUUCUAAGCUUAAUUAAAUCCACGACUUAUUAAUUCUUUCAAUUUCUAUCAAAAGUGAAUCCUAAAUUUAUAAAUCCAUAUUAUUUUAUAAUAAUAAUUAACAAGAACUAAAAAAAAAACGAGGGUACUUCACUAACCCUUCCUCUCACAAAUCAUUGUUAAUUGGAAUAAUUAUUUAUUUUUAUUUUUUUAAUAUAAUUUUAUUUUUAUUUCUCAACAUUAGAUUACUAGAGAUUGAAUUUUUUAAUUUUUUUUCUAUAUGGUUAUUUUAUUCUCAUGAUCCAAGUCAUGAGUUUUGCAAAUUAAUUUAAUUAACUUAAUUUUUUGUGUCUCUUUUUUAAUUGAAUAUUUUUUUUAGUUUCUUCUUCAACAUUGGGUUAAUUGUAAUUAAAUUUCAUAAUUUGUAUGGAGUUAUUCUAACCUUGUAACACAAGUUUGGAAUGUUAAUUCGGGUUGAUUCAGGUCAUUUUUUUAAUUGAUUUUAUUCUUCAACAUUGAAUUCAUUAGGAAUUGAGAUUAAUAAUUAUUUUUCUAUUUGCUUUUUAGAGGGUCAUCAUAGUUUCAUGACAUGUGUCUUGGAUUUUACUUUUCUUUUUUUAAUUGAUUUUUUUUCAAUUACAUCCUUCGUUAUUGGGAAUUGAUCUUUAUAAUAUUUCUCGAUUUGUUUUUUAUAGGAUUAUCCCGGUUUCAUGAUCCAAGUUCGACAGGUUAACCGAGGUUAAUUCAAAUUGUUCUUUUUUAAAUUGACUUUUGUUUUCAAUUUCAUCAUUCAACAUUGAGCUAAUUAAGAAUUGAAUGUUAUUUUUUUCUUAUUUAUUUUUUAUAGGGUUAUCACGGUCUCAUGACCUGGGACGUGGAUUCGACAAGUUGACCUGAGUUAAUCCGAGUCAAUCUAAUAUGUUUUUUUUUUAAUAUUUACAAAAAAAAAUAUAAUCUUGAAUUUUUCUAGCUUGACAAUUAUAGCUAGAUACUAGCUAAAUUAUUGUUCUUGCCUAUUAAAAAGUUUAGAAGACAAGUACAAAUAAACAAUCACCUCAAAAGACAAAUAAAAAACAUAAUUUGUUUUUUUUUAAAUGAUAAUAAAUAAAUAAAAAGAAAUAAUAAUAUGAGGCAAUUACCCAGAUUCAAUUUAAAAGAAAUAAUAAUAAUAAUAUUAGAUUUACUUUACUAAUUAGUAAAUGUAACAUAUUGAAAUAUUCAAAUUGUUUUUGAAAAUCAAGAUAAUAAUUCUCGUAUGAAUCUUCUCCUGGUAUUUUCUAUGGUUCUCCUAGUUAGUUGCAGGUUGCAAGAUGUUGAAAUUUAAAAGAUAAGGAGGCAGGCGCAUUUAGAGGCAUUUGAGCCACAAAUUUAUUGACUACAAGCUAUUAUAUAUGUUGAAUGAUUCACAUCACUAGCGCCGUCGGCUGCUAAAACUCUCAGAUAUUGACUUGAAACUUGCUAAGAACGUACUGAAAACGAGAGAGAUUCCCAUCAGAAAAGAGAGAAAGAAAAGGGAUUUAUCCUUGUAUACAUUGCUUGAAGUUCAUUCCACAGGCAAUUAAUUAAUUAAGUAGGUAGCAAGGUUGUUCUUACCUUCUCCUGGAUGUAGCUGAAACAUCAUUAACAUCUUGUGCUGCAAAAUUGGCUGCAAAAGCUCGAAUAAGUUUUUGUAUUUGUCGAGAGACAGGCAGGGAAGGAGAGGUUCAUUUGAUUUAUACUUGCCAAAUCUUAAAACGUCACAUCCAUGGGCGUACGUACUUGUAUCCUAUGUCAUUUCUCUGGGGCGAUAUUUGAAUUCAAUUUUAACUUUUUACGAACCUGAUAAGAGAUUUAUUUCUUUUUAAAGAGUUAUUGGUUUUUCCAUAACACGUCUAAUUUUACAAUCACACAUAAUUUAUUUAAAAUCAUAUUAAUAUUUUAUAUUAAAGAAUUUAUAUUAAAGAUUAAAUUUUAAUAAUUUUUUUUAAAAUAUAAUUGGACUCUGCUUUUAAUCUAGUCUAAAAUAUACCUAUAUUAUAAAUAAAAUUACAAUAAUCUUCUAUAUAAAUAUAAAUUGUCUGCAAAAAUUAAAAACGACUCUAAAACUUGUAGAGAAGUAUUGAUUUGAUAGAUCACUAUUUUAUAUAUAUAAUUUUUGGCUUUAAAUUUUUUCUAAGUGAAAUAUCAUUAUAGUUAAACAUAAUAUCUUAAAAUAUUCGGUAUUUUAUGUAAAUCAAGAGGAUAAUAAUAGUGGUAUGAAUCUUCACCUGGUAUUUUCUUGGGUUCUCCUAGUUGCAGGUUGCAAGAUGUUGAAAUUUAAAAGAUAAGAAAGCAGAGAGAUUCCAAGUAGAAUUUUCUGCUUUUUUUCUUUUUUAAUACUGAUUGAUGUAGACAUAGACCAAUCUCUUUUCCACCUGGUGCUAAAGGACAACAAGCUAUUAUUUGGAGUUUAUGAUAGACUCAAAUGCAUGCAUUUAUAUAGCUAGUUGGUGCAUAAUUGACAGUUUCAUUCUUGUUGCUGGUUUAUUUUUAUGUUUUAAAAAUGUUUUUAGUGAAAAAUUAAAAUUUUAUUUAUUUUUUAUUUUAAAUUAAUUUUUUAUAUUUUUAAUUUGUUUUGAAUUUAUUAUAUUUAAAUUUUUUUAAAACAUAAAAAAAUAUUAUUUUAAUAUAUUUUAAUUAAAAAAUACUAUGAAAUAAAGCAGCCAUCGGUUUUUAUGUAAAUGAACACACUCUCGUUAUAACACAAAAAUAGUCUCGUGACCUGUAUGGGUUGUGCAUGUAUUAUAAAAAAUAAAUCCCGUUAUUUUUCAGAAAAUACUUUGUGAAUGUAAAUUUUUUUUCAAAUGAACACGCUCUCGAUGAAGUGUAUUUUUUUUUAUUAUUACUUAUCCAAUGGUCUAUUCUAUUUUAUUUUUCAAAUUCUUUUGAUAAAGUGUAUAUUUUUCAAUUUCAAUAAUGAUUUCGCACCCAGAUAUACAAAUAGAUAAGAAAUCACCAUUUGUGGAGAAGGUGAGUUUACAGUGUGGGUGUCAUUUAUUUUCAAGCGGCUUGAAAAUUAUUAUUAAUUGACAGUGCAACGGGUAUUAUUUAUUUGAUCUCAAUUAAUUUAACAUCUUAUUAGUCUAAACAUUAAUAAUAACUCGAGUUCGAGUCAUGGCGUGCAUCUCUUGUAAGAGCCUGAGACAGCGGGGGUUUAAGUGCACUUCUUGUAAGAGCCUGGGACAGCCGGGGUUUUACUCCCUCACCUGGGCCCACAAAGUGCGCUUUCCGGGGAGGUGAGGUUUCCUUGAAUCCAAAAAAAUUAAUAAUAACUCAAAAUACAAGUUGACAUAAAAUAAGAAUUUGAAAACAAUGAGCAUUAAUCUCAUACUAGAGCAACAAAACAGUGAUUUAUAAAGAGAAAUAAACAGAUCUAGGGUUGGAACCAAAAAACGAAAAUUACCUUAACAACCAACAACCAGCAGACCGGUUUGCUAACCCAUUAUAAAUUAUAGCUUUGGUGUCUGAAUGAAACCGGAUUUAGUUUAUGUUUUGAGGUUGUUGAUUAUAAGGUUAUUUUUGUUUUUUGUUUUUUUUUUUGGGUUUUUUUGUUGUCAAGGAGAAAUCAAUAACAAGUAAAUGAGAAGAAAAAAAUGUUACGAUGGUUAUUAUUUUGUGGGUUGUGCAGCAGCAAUGACGAUUGUACUGUGAGACUUGUUACAGUUAGGGUGAAUUGAAUGUAAAGAAUGUGAAUUGAAAAUGAUCGAGAAGAGAAAGAGAAGAGGGUGUUUGUUUAGCAGAUUCAGAAUGUUCAACCUGCAUGUGGUCCAAAUUGCAAAAGCAGAAAAUAAUUGCUCCUCCUUGUGUUAAUGAUCCAAUUACUGGGGCCUUUCUUUAUUAAAAAAAAAAAAAGGGAAAUGCAAACAUCAAAGUUUACCGUUAACUUGACAUGUAACUCUUAUAUUGACGUUAUUACACAAUAAUAAUUACUAGCUCAUUUCUCUUUUAGUGAAAGUAUUAUUUAUUUUAUUUAACUCAUUCCCAAAUCUUUAAUUUUAUUUAAUAUGCUAAUAUUCUUGACAUUGCAUAUACAACUUUUCAAAAUUCACAACUAACAACUUGAUUUCCAAAACUAUCUUUAAAUUUCAAAACUUUCUUGCCUUACAAUGAGUAUUCAUGCCAUCACUGAUUUUUUUGUUUUUUAUGUUUUUAUAGGUUUUUUUUUUGUGUUUUUUUCUUUUAAUGAAUUUUUUUGUUUAAUUUAGUUUGUUAAUAUGAAAUUUUUUUUAUUUAGUUGUUAGAUUUUCAUGACAUGAAUCUCGGGUUUGACGGGUUAACCUGGUUUGAUGAGUUAAUCCAGAAUUUUUUUUUAUUUUUUUCUUUUCAAUCAAUUUUUUUCGUUUAGUUUAUCUAUUAUAAUUAUAAUUAUAAUAAUAUAACUUAUAUAUUAUAAUUAUACUUAUAAUAAUAUAAUAAUAAUAAUAAUAACAUAUACUAAAAUACUCAAAGCUGUCUUUUUUUUAUCUUUUUUGUUUUUAAUUUUUUUGCUGUUUUUAUUUAUUUAUUUAUUUUUUGCCUUCUUUGUGUUUUUUCUUUUAAUAUUUUUUUUUAAUUUAGUUUGUUAAUGUUAAUUUUUUUUUUAAUUUAGUUAUCAGAUUUUCAUGACAUAGAUCCCGAGUUUAACGGGUUAACCCGGAAUUUGUUUUUUGCUUUUUUUCUUUUUAAUUAAUUUUUUUCAUUUAGUUUAUUUUGUUAAUGUUAAAUUUCUUUCUAUUUAAUUAUCAGACUUUCAUGACACAUAUCCCGGGCUUGAUGGGUUAACCUGGUUUAAUAGUAUAACCCUGUUAACCCAUCAAUUUUUUUUUCUAUUUAGUUAUCAAACUUUCAUGACGCGAAUCCUAGAUUUGACGGGUUAACCUGGUUUGAAGGGUUAACCUAGUUAAUUCAAAUUUUUUUCGUUUUCCUCAUAAGUUUUUUUUCUUCAUGUUGGUUUUUUUUUCUUUAUUUUUUGCUUUUGUUCCUUCUUUUUACAUGUUUUUUUUUAAAAUUGACUUCUUCUUCUUUUAUUUUAUUUUAUUUUUUUUCAAAAUUAUCUUUGUCAAUUUUUUAAAAUAUUGAACUAGUUGGGAAUCUAGCUAUGUAGUUUUUUUCUUUAAAACAUUGUGAAUUGCUACAAUAUUUCCCUACAUGGUUUUUUUCUCUCUUUUUAUGAUUUUAUUUUCAAAGUGGUCUUUGUCGAUUUUAUUUUUUUUAUAUUAAGCUGGUUGAGAAUUUAGCUUCAUAGUUUUUUCAAAAAUAAUACCGUGGAUUGCUACAGUGUUUCCUCCACGUGGUUUUUGUUUUGCUGCAGUGUUUCCCCAUAUUUUUUUUUAAAUUAUCUUUGUCCAAUUUAUUUUUUUAAUAUUGAGCUAGUUGAGAAUUGAGCUUUAAUUUUCCCCAUGUUUUUUUUUUAUAUUUUUUUUGUUUUUCCAAAAUUGUCUUCUUCUUUAGUUUUUUAUUUUAGAAUCUUUUUUGUUGAUUUUAUUUUUUUACAGUGUCCCCAGGCACNNNNNNNNNNNNNNNNNNNNNNNNNNNNNNNNNNNNNNNNNNNNNNNNNNNNNNNNNNNNNNNNNNNNNNNNNNNNNNNNNNNNNNNNNNNNNNNNNNNNCAUUAUUUACAGUGUUCCCCACAUAUUUUUGCCUUGCUAUAGUGUUUUCCUACAUGUUUUAUUUAAUCAAUUUUUUUAUCAAAAUUUGUUUUAUCGAAUUUAUUUUUUUCAUACUGAGCUGAUUGAAAAUUUAGCUUUGUAGUUUUUUUUUCUUUAAAACAUCGUUGAUUGCUAUAAUUUUUCCCCAAAUGAUUUUUUUUUUUAUGAUUUUUUUCAAAAUUAUCUUUAUUGAUUUUAUUAUUUUUAAUAUUGAGGUAGAUGAAAAUUACAACUAUAGAUUUCCUCAUGAAACACUAUAGAUUGCUACAUUGAUUCCCUGCAUGGUUUUUUUUUCCUUUUGUUUUUUUGUGAUAUUUUUCAAAAUUAUCUUUGUUGAUCUUAUUUUUUUAAUAUUGAGCUGGUUGAGAAUUAUAAUUGCAUAUUUCCUCAUAAAAUACUAUAGAUUGCUACAGUGUUUUUUUAAAUGAUUUUAAUGUCGAACUGGUUGAGAAUUUAGCUUUAACUUUCCCCACAUGUUUCUUUUUCCAUUUUUUAUUUUUUUUUGCUUUUUUUUUUCCAAAAUUGCCUUCUUCUUUUUUUUUUUUUUAUUUAGAAUUAUUUUUGUUGAUUUUAUUUUUUUAAUAUUGAGUUGUUUAAGAAUUUAGCUUUAUAGUUUUUUUCCUUUGAAACACUGUGGAUUACUGCAGUGUUUUCCCACUUGGUUUUUUUCCUUUUUUUAUGAUUUUUUUUCUAGAAUUGUCUUUGUUGAUUUUAUUUUUCUUAUAUUGAGUUGGUUGAGAAUUUAGCUUCGUAGUUUUUUUUCUUUAAAACACUAAGGAUUGCUACAAUAUUUCCCUACAUGAUUUUUUUAAAAAUUAUAUUUAUCGAUUUUAUUAUUUUUAAUAUUGAGCUGGUUGAGAAUUACAACUUUAGAAUUUCUUAUAAAACACUAUAGAUUGCUACAAUGUUUCCUUACUUGGUUUUUUUUCCUUUUUGUUUUUUUCUGAUUUUUUAAAAUUAUCUGUCAAUUUUAUUUUUUUAAUAUUGAGCUGGUUGAUAAUUUAGUUUUGUAGUUUUUUCCUUGAAAAUAUUAUGGAUUCCAAUAAUUUUUCUUUAUAUGAUAUUUUUUUUAUAAUUUUUUCACAAACCCACGAUAACGCACAAGCCCGCGGUAUCACACGGGCAUGACAUCUAGUGAGUAUUAAAGUGAUGUCUUUUUUUCCUUCUGAAACAGGGCAUGGGCAUAGAACAACACUUACAGGAGUAGAAGUUGGAGUAGAUUUAACAGCAGCAGAAAAAAUAUGGACAAUAUUUAGAGCAAUCGGCGAUAUGGCAUUCGCUUGCGCGUAUUCUGUCAUUUUGUUUGAAAUUCAAGUAAGAUUUCGAGAAUAUUGAGCAGAAUUUCUGAGUGCCUGAAACAAAAGUUAAGAGCAUAGUCAACAAUGACAAUAUUAAUUUACAGCCAUAUCAGUUAUGUUUUUAACCUAUCUAAAUAGCCAUCUAUUUUUAAUGGAGGUGGUCAAUUUUAAGGACUAAAAUCAGAAAAACAAAAGGUUAGGGGCUGAGUUGGGUUUGACUAAAAGCUCAAGGGUCUUUGACCAAUUUGCUUUUCCAUAAUCCUGAUGCGUGACCGAAUGUUAAAUAGCAAGGCUAAAUUACCUCGUACUUACCAAAUCUUACAACGUCACAUCCAUGUGCCAGAGUACUUGUAUCAAUUUUAACUUCUUACAAUCAUUAUAAAAAAAAUAUUUCUUUUUAAAGAGUUAUUGUUUUUUCAUAACAUGUAAAUAGUUUUUUUUAUUUUUAUUUUUCAAUCACAUAUAAUUUUUUUAAAAUCAUAUUAAUAUUCCAAGUUAAAGAUUUUAUAUUAAAAAUUAAAUUCCAAUAAAAUUUUUUACUCCAAAAAUAAUUAAACUCCAUUUUUAAUUUAGUUUAAAAUAUACCUGUAUUAUAAAUAAAAUUCCAACAAUCUAAUAAAAAUUAAUAUAAAUUGUCUGAAAAAAUUAAAAAUAAUUCCAAGAUUUAUAGAGAAAUAUUGAUUUGAUGAAUCACUAUCUUAGAUGGAUAGUUUUUUGCUUUAAAUCUUUUUAAGUGAAAUACCAUGAGAUUUACUCAGUUAACUAAUAAACAUAAUAUUUUAAAAUAUUUAAUUUUUUAUAUAUAUAAAUCAAGAUAAUAAUAGUGGUGUGAAUCUUAACCUCGUAUUUUCUUUGGUUCUCCUAGUUGUAGGUUGCAAGAUGUUGAAAUUUAAAAGAUAAGGAGGUAGGCUGCUAAAAAGCAUUUUCAUGGAAAAACUCUCAGAUAUUUAAACCUGACUUGUCAGUUUAUUGACUUGAAACAUGCUAAGAAUAUACUGAAAACAAGAGAGAUUCCAAUCAGAAAAGAGAGAAAGGAAAAGGAUUUAUACCUUAAUCUCUUAAUAAAAGACCCACAGUGCUUGAAGUUCUUUCCAUUGUGAUUUUUCAAUGGUUUUUUUUUAAUCCGUGAUUGUUCACCACUGGCUAUAAAGUGCACUAAGAACACGAAGGUUUUUUGUUACUUUCAAUGCUGUAAAGUGCACUAAGAACUUCAUCAUCAAUUGUUCACUAAUACUGAUUGAGGUAGAUAUAGACCAUAGUUUUAAAAUCCGACUCGAUCAUCGAUUCGGUUUAGUAAUUGGAUCACGGGUCAGAUAGGUUGACCCAGGUAAACCAAAAAAAAAAAAAACUUAUACAAAACACCUAACUAGUUACAAAUUUACAAUGCAACACUUACAUAAAUCAAAUUUAAAUUUUAAACUAAUAACAUAAAUUUAAUUCAAUAUCCAAAACACAAAUCAAAUAUAAAUUCUAAAAUAUUUUAAACAAAAUAUCCAACAACAUAAAUUCUAAAUCAACAACACAUUCACUUUUGUUGAAUGAACACAUUAAGUUCUUUUGUGUCCAUGGAAGCAAAAUUUGGAUCAAAUGUCGAUGGAAUUGAGCCAAUCUCGUCAACACCUAAUAAAUCAUCAGCAUACUUCUUUGAAACUUCAUCAUCACAAUCAUCUUCAAUCUCAUUAACAUUUAUGACAUCUACAUUUCAAACACAAUUAACAAAUAAAUAUUAUGUGUUAAACAAUACUUUAUUUUAAUAAUAUUUAUCACUAAAUGUUAAACAAUACUUUAUUUUAAAUAAUAUUUAUCACUAAAUAAUCAAUCAUUAAUUACCAUCAUCUAAAGUAUCUUGUAUGGUCAUAGUUGAUAGAGCUUAGUGAAAACUCUGUUUCUUCAGUUGUCAAAAUUGACGGGUCAUCUUCCACAUUAAUUGGAUCAUAAUUUCGUCCUUUCCAAUAAUUCCUAUAUAUUAAAAGUGAAGGUUAACACAAUAUAAGUAUUAAUAAUACUACUAAAUAAGAUAAAAUAAUAUUUAAGGAAUUAGAGAAAAGAAAAAUACUUUUGUUUCAAUCUUAGAUUGCAGUGGACGUAAACAAGGUCAUUAAACCUUUGGUGCUCCAAUCUAUUUCUCUUCUUGGAGUGAAUAUGUUCAAACAUACUCCAAUUUCUCUCGCAUCCCGAAGAACUACAAGUUUGACUUAACAGUCGUAUAGCCAACUGUUGUAGAUUUGGAGCACUAGUUCCAUAUGUCAUCCACCAUUUAUCUAUACAAAAAAAUAAUAAGUAAGAGUGUAAGAAUGUCAAAUAAUAUUUUUAAAUAUAAAAAUUAUAUACCUGGAGGCAUAAGGGUGCGAUUAUUUAUUGUGGACACUCGACCAAAGUCAUGUUCAGCAUUCCUAAACAACUUCAUCUCACUUGUAAUCUUACUUUGCAAUGGUAGAUUUCCAUGUGCAUACUUCUCAAGAACAUCUAGAAGUCCAGAAAUGGUGCUCAUAUGUUUAUCCAUUAUAUUUGCAUCAUAUUAAAAUCGAGGAUUCAACCAAAAUGCCGCUACAUAAAGAUUUCUAUAUUGCUGUCCAUCCCACCGAUUAUUGAUAAUGUCUAUGAAAUGUUUCACUCUAGCCUUUCUCUUUUUAAAUCUCCUCAUCAUUUCUUCUUUUGCAUGAUGAAUAGCAUCAUACAAAUAUCUCAUCGAAGGUCUAUCAUCACCAUCAACCAUUCUUAGAGCUCGAACUAAAGGUUCACUCAUUCGCAUAAUUAUUGCAUAUUCUUCCCAAAACAGAGAGUCUAGCACACUCUCAACAAACUUUUUUCCUUUACUAUCUUUAGCAUAAGCAGACGAGACCCAUUCCCUAGAUGUCACCAUAGCUCUCAACUCAUCUUUAUGAGCUAAAAUGCUUUGCAAUGCAAUGAAAUUUGUAGCAAAAUGAGUAGGAGCUGGACGAAGUAUUUCUUUUCCUUUAGUGAACUUCCUCAUCAAAUACAAUGGCUAACAAUAAUUAUAAAUGUAUUUUGUGAUACCAGAAGCAUGCUUAACAACACAACAAAUAAACUAAAAUUUACCAAUGUCCUGGAGUAUGAGAUUGAUACAAUGAGUAGCACAAGGAGACCAAAAUAUUGAAGGAAAUUCCUCCAUCAAUAACCUGCCAGCAACAACAUAAUUUGCAUCAGUCACCAUAUGCACAAUGUUUUCUACCCCAACAUACAAAACAACCUCUCUAAACAACUGUUACAACAAUCUAGCAGUCUUUGAGACAUUUGAUACAUCCACAGUUUUCAAAAAAACUGUUCCUUUAGGACAAUAUACUAAGAAGUUAAUUAAAGUCCUCCUCUUCUGAUCUGUCCAUCCAUCAGCCAUUAAUGUGUGACCAGUCUUCUUUCAAAUCUCUCGAUAACUCUCAACAUAAUUCUUCACUUCAUCAACCAUUUUUGCCAAGUAAUAACCACAAAUAGCAUGCAAGUUUGGUCCUUUAUAACCAGGACCCAUGGUUGUUACAACAUUUAUGGCAUGCUGAUAAUACACAGAGUUAACAGCAUUAAAUGGCACACAUGCAUCAAUCAUCCACUUCGCUAAAGCAAGAUCACACCAUUCAACUGCUUCUUUCCUUUGUCAACAAUUUUGAAGAAACUUUUGAGCACCAGGAGUUGUUCUCGGCAUGAAAUAUGUCCCUAAUGUUGCAGAUUUCUUCUGCUUUCCAUAACUUAUAGUUGAUUAUUUUAUAGUGCUGGUGCUUUGAAUCCUUUUCUUUUUUGCAACCUUCGGUGGUAACAUAUGUUUUUUAGUAUUGACAUCCUCAUCAUCCUCAUCACCAUCAUCAUCAUCUUCUAAUUACCUAAUAAUCAUCUCUUCAUACUCCCUUUAGUGUGCAUUAAAUGGGAUGAAAUCUGGCUGCAUUUCUCUAAUUUUUUUUUUGUUUCAGCAUUNNNNNNNNNNNNNNNNNNNNNNNNNNNNNNNNNNNNNNNNNNNNNNNNNNNNNNNNNNNNNNNNNNNNNNNNNNNNNNNNNNNNNNNNNNNNNNNNNNNNUUUUAUUAUAUAAUGAAUAAAAUGAGUUCAAUAUUUUUUUUUUGAGAUUCUUUCUUAUCUUGAAAAAAUUGGUUUCCUAAUGGAACCUUGCAAGGAUACUAGACACUAGAUAGAGGGAAAGUAUUUGCGGAAAAAAUCAAACACUGGAUGGCCUAUUAUGAUCGUGAUGAGCCUAAAGGUUAAAUUAAGCCUGAAGGUUAAAUUAUUAGUCAACUAAUAUGAUCCUGAUUCCUGAUUCCUGAAGGUUAAAUUCAUAGUCAACUAAAAUCAACUAAAAUGCCAGUAAAUGAUCCUGAUUCCUGAAGGUAACAAAAUUAACUAAGCACAACCAGCUUAAGCAGAACAGUAGCAAAAUUAACAGCAAAAGUAAAAGAAGAACAAAUGAACAGGGACAUCAAAUUCAAUCACUCCAACAUAAGCAAAAACAACUAAUUGCAGAAGCAGAACGAACGAACAGUAAAACAAAAUUCACAGUAAAAUAGAAUAGAAAGUCAAGAGCUUUCUCAUCACAUUUUUUCCAUGUCUGAGCAAUAUUCACAGCAAAGUUCAUGUCUUUGACCAUUUAAAGUAGCAGAAAAAUAAAAGAACAUGGAAAAUGAGAUACAGAACUAUGGAGCUGCAAGCCUGCAAGUUCAAAACAAAUGGGUCAACAAAGGGAAGAAUCGAUGCCACUGAUAUAGUAAAGCUCUCCUGCAAGUUCAACAGAGGGAAGAAUCUUUAAAAGAUGUUUCAAUUUGAUAUAGUAAAGCUCAUCUAACCUUAUUCUUAUAUUUGAAACAACGAUCAAGGAUUCAAGAGUCUUCUUCUGCUCCUCUGCUCUUUUUUGCGACUGAAAUGGUUUUGAAGAUUUCUUGAAUUAGGUAUGAAAUUAAUAAAGUCUUCUACACAGACUGCACUGCAUUCGUUCCUCUGCUCUUCUUGUUUUGGCCUUUUAAUUGUAAAAAGCCAAAACGACGUCGUUUCGAUCCUGAAUAUAUAUAUAAAAAACACCUGGGUCUCAACCGGGUUUGCCCGGGCCGGCCGGGUCCCGGGUGGACGUACCGGGUUGACCAGGUCUCACCGGGCUAAUUCCUAGCCUGUUUUUUGCUUAGACCCGGCCCAGCCACAGACCUGGGUCGGCCGGGUCCCGGGCCGGGUUUUAAAACUCUGCAUAGACCAAUCUCUUUUGCACCUGGUCCUAAAGGACAACAAGCUAUUUGGAGUUUAUGAUAGACUCAAAUGCAUGCAUUUAUAUAGCUACUUGGUGCAUAAUUGGCAGUUUCAUACUUGUAGUUGGUUUAUUUUUAUGGUUAAAAAUAUUUUUUGAAAAAAAUUCAUUUUUUUUAUAUUAUUUUUGUGUUAAAUUAAUUUUUUGGUAUUUUUAGAUUGUUUUAAAGUAUUUAUGUUAAAAUAAAAAUUUUAAUAUUAUUUUAAUAUAUUUUCAAACAAAAAAAAAUACUUUCUAGAGCAAAUGCUCAUAUUUAUAAAACCACCCUCGAUUUUAAUGCUUCUUAUAGUCAUCAUUUGCUUUGAAUAUUGAGUUUAUUUCCUAAAACCGUGAGCAAAUUUAUUUCUCGAAUGAACACUCUUGUUAUUUCACAAAUAUAGUCUCGUGAUCAUAGUUUUCAGACCCGGCCUAGUCCAAGGCUCAGGUUCCGCGUUUUGAUCGGGUCUGCCGGGUUAAUGUUUUUUUAAAAAUUAAAACAACGUCGUUUUAGUACAAAAAAAACAAAAGUCAACGGGUUGCAACCGGGUUUUUGACUGAUUUUUACCGGGUCAACCAGGUCACCAGGUCAACCCGCCAAGUUAACUAGGUCACCGAGUUUUUCCUUACCCUAUUUUUUCUUUAACCUGGCCUGAUUCUAGCCCCGGGUCGGCCUGGUCCCGAGUCAACCCGCCUGGCCAGGUCGGGUUUCAAAACUAUACUCGUGACACGUGGGUUGGGCAUGUAUUAUAAAAAAUAAUAAUUAAUAAUUAUAGUUGUCUACGCACCUGCAUGUGGGAUGUGCAUGUAUUAUAGAAAAUAGUCUCGUUACUUUUUAGAUAAUUAAAGAGAUUUGAAAGUUUAAUGGUCAUUUAAGGGUUAAAUUAAAGAAAUUCAAGACCAAGGAUCAAAAUAAAAAGGGUGUGGAAAUCCAAGGCUAAAAUUGAAGUUUAUCAAUGGCAAAAUUACACAAAAUUAAAAGUUUGAAGUCAAUCAAGGAUGUAAUUGAGAGAAAUCACAAAUCGAAAGAUUUAAUUGAACUUUACCAAAACAACGCUGUUUUGGUUACUGUUCGUUUCUUCUUAUUUUUUUCCUUGAAAAGACUACUCAUGAAUUACUUUUCAGGGGCAUCAAUGCUUCAUUUCUCUACCAAAUUUGACAAAACUUGCACGAAAAUGAUCGUCUAACAUCUAAUUACACCCCGGAGUGGUACUUUAUAGCCAAUUGACACCAUAACGGUCAUGGUACCGGCCCAAAGAGGCUUGCUUAGGCAGCCUUCAACUGUCAAAUUUAAUAGUUCAUGAUGCCUACUUUGAGCCAACGGUUGUGAUCCUCCGGGGCUGAAUCAAGGGCCAAGAUUUGACACCAUUAAAGACAAAAUGUUCCUCUUUCAUCCCCUAUAAAUAGGGGUGGAUUCCAUGCCCUGAGUGUGAAGAAAAUUGGGUGAAAAGUUGAUAAAAAACCAACCAACCUCCCUCUUUUUUUUUUCUUUUAGUCGACAAUUCUCUCUCUUCUUUUUCUCUCUCCACCGUGUUUUCAGCUGCCACAACCUUAGCACAACUGAACAACACAACAAAAACCCCUCUAUCAACCCAUCUCCUCGCCGACAACAGUAACCAUAACCGCCAAUCUCUCCUCCUUUUCCACCACAAACUUCUUCUUUUUCUUGCACCACAGGAACCCAACCACCACCUCAGCAUUGUUGUGUGCCACCAGCACUUCCACAGUCCUCUACAAGACCAGUGACGACAGUCGUGACCCAUGUGCCAAGUGAGCUCCUUCUUCUCUCCCCCCUCUCAUAUGCAUGCAGGAUGUGAAAUAAUUCACGUCCUGCAACUGCUGGCUUCUGGCAGCAGAUGCAAACUAGGCUGUACUCGUUUUGGCCUUGCCUAAAUGGUUGAGAUGGAUCUAGCCCACCCCUAAAAGAAGGAGGAGGAGGAGGAGGAGGAGGAGGAGGAGGGUCUGUUGGGCCGCUAGUUGGCUAACCCGACUGAUUUGGGCUGGACCAGGUCAAGCUCAAUUUAUAUUUCACAUAAUAAUAAUAAUAAUAAAAAAAAACAAAAAAAAUCUAAAAACUUCCAAGGGUCAUUUCAAAAUAUUUGUGAUUUUCUCGCAAGUUUUUUCAAUAAUUUUGUAUAAUAUCAGGUUGUAUAUUUAUAUUGUAAGAUACAAAUCCGGUAUUAAAAUACCUGGUAUUCUUCAAAAAUCUUCUUUAAAAAUUAAAAAAAAAUGUCAAUUUUUUAAAAUUAAUUUCCUCUAAAAAAAUAAAAAAUAGUUUGUUUUCAUGCAUAUGGCCGAAUCCUAAAAGUUUUUCAAGCAUAUUUUCAUAAAACCAAAAAAUACAUCUUUCUCAUGUUUUAAAAUGUAAAAUGGAUAUCAUAACCAAUUUAUGAUUUUCUCUUAGGGUUUAGCCAAAGCACUAAAAAUCCUUCACCAAUCAUUUUGUUCAUUUUAUAUUUAAAGUGUUAGGAUUUAGCUGUAAACUUUAAUAUUUGGAGGUAUAAAACUACAUUAUAAAGUAUAUACCCUCAGGUAUUAAAGAUACACAGUGCAAAAUAAACGUAAUGCUAAGAUUUAGACUUUAGAACGAUUAUGAUUUAACUCGAUAAGAUACAGACUUCCUAACAAAGAGAAAUUUACUUUGAACCUUAGAUAAGACCAACAAAUAGAAACACAAAAUAGAAAUACAAUCAAUUAUUACAAUUAUAAGUUUAUAUACAAAUAUUCCUAAUUUAUUAAAUUUAUAAGUUUACUAAAAGUAAACGAAAAGCAUAUUAAAUGGAAGAUAACAGUUUGAAUACAUAAUAAAAGAUAAAACUAAAGUCUACCUAGCUAUAACAAAAGAAUACAGCUACACCGUCACUGUUGUGAUGGAAUGGACCUUGUGUGUGUGUGUAAAGGUUAGCUAUCAAUUCAAAUAUAAAAACAAAUUAAGUAAUACACAACUAAUAUUAAUAUUAGGGAAUCACAACAAUUCCCAUACACCAUCACUAACACACAAUUCUUUUUAUCCUAUUUUUGGCCUCUAUACUAUCUAUUUCCUUAGCUCUUCAUUUGUAAUUCUUUGCCAACAAGCCCUUACUCUUACAUAUAAUUAUAAAUACUUCACACUAAUAACUUUAUAUCAUGUGGUAUAUUGGAUUAUCAAAGUUGUGGUCUCAUAAUGCAGUUAGCUUAGUUCUAUCUGAUGUCUUUGAUUUCCCUUUCUAAAAUCAUAUAAAAGACAUCUACUAUGUAGAUCAUCACUCGAAUGACCAACUCAUAAACACCCGACCCGUAACCCCCAUUUACGUGGUCAGCUUAUCAAUUAAUUUUAUAUUUCUUUGAUAUUUCUCUCUCUUUUUUUUAGAUGCAAACACAAUAACAAGAAAUUUAAAAAAUUAAGCCUAUUUCCAUAUUUUCAUAAAUAUCUCUAUAAAUAUAUAAAUAUCUAGGAUAUUUAUAAGAUAUUUAUCUUUAAAAAAUCUAUAUAAACAAAUAUAUCUUGUAGCAUAAAAAAAAAGGCUACAAGACCACAUCUGAUCUCUCUAAAUAAAACAAGUCUAAUAUAAAACUUAAAUAAGGUUUAAGAAAUAUUUAAGUUUAGAGAAUACUCAUUUUUCUCGUCACUUGUUCAAAUACUAUACUGACUUAAGCAUUAGAGUGUUUUUUUUACAAGUGUCACUAGCCCACCAAGUCCUUCAGAUCCAGUUUGAUCAGCCCAUGAAAAACGCCUACAAUCUUUCUCUUGAGGAUUUUUUUCAGCAAUAUCAAUUGGCAUUGUCUGUGAAAAAUGAAUAAAAAAUCCGAUCAUUCAUGUUUUUAAAAAACUCUUUUCAUGGCUAACAAUGCAUCUACCAUUACACCAACGACACAUGAUGUCAACAGCUACGCCAAUGACGUGUGAUGUCAAUAGCUAAACUAGUAGUGAAGCCCACUACUACGCCCCACAUGUUUACGCCAACGAUUACACUCGAUAUGGCUACGCCAAACACCCAAGGCAACACCUAUGAUUAUGUCUAAAACUACACUCCAUGGCUAUGCCCUAAGGCUACAUCCCCAAAUAACUUUUAUGGCGGCUUGUACAUAUACAAGGUGCAGUCGAGACUUGGGAGCUCUAUUGAUACAUUGAAGGUAAUAUUACCCCCUAUAAGUAUUUCCUCCCCUACUCUUGCUUAUUAGUACUUAAAAAUACAUUCUCAUUAAAGUUUUAUAUCAUUAUAUUGCAAUUAAAGUAUUAUUAAAUUCUCUAACUUAAGCAUAUUUUAUAAUAACGAGUAUGAUAAUAUAAGAUAGCUUUAAUUUAUGAUAAAUGCUCAUUUUAAAUGCAAGCAUAUUUCACAAUUCAAAUGAUUGAUUAAUGUGAUUAACUAUUGAAAGUGAAAAGAUCAUCAAAAGGUUAAGAGCUGUUGGUUCAAACUGGAACAUCAUUCCGUAAUUGGGUCACAACUGGAGCUGUAUACCUUGGAUUUAGGCCUUCUAUAUAUGGAUGGUUAUAAGACAUGGGCCUAAAACUUUCAUGUAGAAAGCAAGACUUAAAUUUGCUAUUUUCAAUCUCAAAUUGUAGCAACAAAAGAGAAGUCAGAAUUUGUCUUGCAGCCUAGACACUAUUCAGUGUUUAGCUCAUAUCUUAAGUUCUAGAAGUUCAAAUGAGCUCCCAUUUAUAUGGAUGGAAAGCUGAGUCAAAUUUCUAUAACUUUCAUGAAGAACAUGUUUCCAAAUUCUGAUUGGAGCAAUGUUAUUUCAUCCAGCAAAACAAAUUUAUACCUAAACAACCAAGUUCACUAAAUUAAUAGUUGGCCACUACAUCAAUAAUGAAUAACAAAUGAAUAGUUUUGAAAUUUAGCCUAUGAAAGGAGGCAUUUACCAUACGUUUAGGCAUCUUAGUUUUCAGAUCAAGAUCUUGCUCUUGCUCUCUUUCUUUGUAUUUUGUAAUGUUCAAGUUUUAUUUCAUGUUAUAUUUUCAUUAAUCUCUUAUUUAUGCUUUUCAUUUACUUUAUUAUCCUUAGUUAACUUAUUUAAUAUAUGUGUUCUUAUGUUGUUUAUUUAUGUUCCAUUCCCAAUGCUCUUACCCUAUACACGGGACGGGGCACUCCUAAUUUGAGAGAAGAUGUUAGAAACCAUGCAGCUGCCUUGGGCCUUAACUCCUUUGUAUUGGCCCAGAUUGAAAGCCCAGUUUAUGGCAAUGGAUCUCAAAGCCCAUCUGACGUUCUCUCUAUUUCAUCUGGAUCAAACAACGAUUUAGCCCUUCAAUCAACAUAUAAUCCUCAAGCCAUAGUAAUUCUGGAACCGCAACACAUGAAUCACCCUGUUAUUUUACACUCUGAUGCAAACACAAAAGAGAGUGCAACUGCUCUAUCUGCAAAAACAAGAAGGAAGUUGCGACGUACAAAGAUGAUUACAGCUGAUGGAAGUUUGAAUGAAACAGUUAAUAAGAGUGAGAUGGAUACUGAGGACUCAACAAUACAGAGGUGUAACAGGAGGAACUUGCUAGCACUUAGCGAAAACAAUAAACCUUCUGAGGGUGAUGAGGUUUGUUUAAUGCUGGAAAUAGGAGAGGCUUUGCAGAUUGAAAAACCUCACAAUUUAGAUGACUUCACAUCUUAUAUAAAUCAGCAAAGGCGUAAAGAGAAGGCUGAUCGGGAAGCAUCCCAGUGAGUAGAUGUUCCACUUUAUUCUAUAAGGAUUUUAAAUAUCUUUUCUUAUGCAGAUUCUUUCAUGGAAUUCUUGUGGUUUGGGGUUAGCUAGAAAGAAUAGGACAGUUUCAAAGUUAAUCAGAGAUUUUAAUAUAGAGGUUUGUUUUUUGUUUGAAACUAAGUUACAAAGUUACUCAGACAGAUUGGUUUUUCAGUUAUGGAACGUCAGCAAUGUUUCUUGGUUUGGUAAUGAGGCUGAAGGUACCAAAGAGGGCAUCCUGGCUAUGUGGGAUAACUCUAAGUUUGCGGUAUCAUCAGUGGAGUAUGGUCAUGAUUGGAUCGGGUUAUUUGGGCAGAAUUUCUUGACUGGCUUCUUAGGGGCGGUGGUAGGUGUUUAUGCCCCUUGCAAUCAAGCUGACAGACUUCUUCUUUGGAAGGACCUUCGUAUUCUGAAGGCUGCUUUUGAGUGUCCUUGGUUUUAAGCAGGUAACUUCAAUGAAACUAUGUUGCGAAGUGACAGAAGCAGCGGCUUCAUUAACAAGGUGGGUUCAACAGCUUUUAGACUUUUUAUUGAUGAUUGUAACCUAAUCGAGUACAACAUGUCAGAGGGUUUGUACACUUGGUUUCGUGGGGGAUCCAUGAGUAAACUAGACCGCAUUUUUUCUAGUCCUUAUUGUCAUUUGCAAUUCCCUCUUUUGUCUCUUUGACGGCUUCCAAGAGGGUUCUCUGAUCAUUGCCCUUUAAUCCUACGGGUUUUACCUGCAGAAAAAGGUUGGAUUCCUUUCAAAUUCAUGGAUAGUUGGCUCCAUCAUCCAAAUUUUAAAGAUAUCGUAAAGGGUAUAUGGGAUGAAGCUUGCAAUGAAUUUUCAGGUCAGUUUAAGCUCAUUAAGAAGCUCAGCUUUAUUGCAAGUCGGCUCAGACAAUGGAAUAGGGUUGGUUUUGGGCAUCAGGAGACUACUUUGGCAUUGAUCCAAAGCAAUAUUUCAGCUAUAGAACAGAAAUCAGAGUAUGGGCAAUUAUCUACUGCAGAGCAGAACUCACUUGAUUCAUUGAUCAAGAAGCAGUGGCAAUGUAACUUGCAUAUAGAAAGCAUGUGGCGUUAAAAGUCUCACCAAAUUUGGUGUCGCCUGGGUGAUCGCAACACGCGUUUCUUCCAUCUAGUUGCUAACUUCAGAAGGGCUAAAAACCAUCUCCUGAAAGUGGUUCAUAAUGGUUCUGUUGUUGAAGGCUUACCGGUCAUAAAAGAUGCAGCAGUUAGCUUCUUCUCCAACUUAUUUAGAAGUCCUGAUAGAUUCCGAAUUGGUUUAGGGCCUGUUGGUUUUAAAACACUCUCGGCUUCUUCUUCAGCUAGCUUGGAGCGAGAUAUCACUUUGGAAGAAUUAAAGCAGAGUGUUUGGGAUUGUGAUGGGAGCAAGAGUCCGGGUCCAGAUGGUUUCAAUUUCAAAUUCUAUAGGCUUGCUUGGAAUUUCAUUGCAGAUGAUCUGUUAGACCUGGCUAAGAAUUUCUUCAAAACAGGUAGGCUUCCAAAAGGAGUCAAUCAUGCUUAUGUUCAUCUAAUUUCGAAGAUAGCUUCCCCAGUUGGCUUUAAAGAUUUCAGGCCUAUUAGUUUGAUUCAUGGCAUUUACAAGAUAAUUGCUAAGGUUCUUUCUAGCCGUCUGAAAGCGGUUAUGCAUGACCUUAUCAGUGAGAAUCAAACAGCUUUCUUGGCAGGGAGGCAAAUAAUUGAUGGGUUUUUGGUUGCCAAUGAAGCAGUUCAUUCCUUGAAAAGAUACAGAGUGUCAAGCCUUAUCUUUAAGGUGAAUUUUCACAAAGCUUUCGAUAGUGUGCAGUGGGAUUAUUUAGAGCAGGUUAUGAGGCAUAUGGGUUUUGGUGAAAAAUGGAUUAAUUGGAUCAACACUUGCAUCUCCACUGCAAAAUUAUCAGUGCUGAUUAAUGGAUCUCCUUUUAAGGAAUUCUUGAUGGGCCGUGGGAUUCGCCAAGGUGACCCCCUUUCUCCAUUCCUUUUUCUAAUUGCAGUAGAGGGAUUAUCUGUUUUGUUUCAAAGAGUAGCUUCAAAUGAUCUUUUCAAAGGUAUCCCUUUUAGAGACAACUUUUGCCUCAGUCACCUACAAUAUGCAGACGACACUUUGAUCUUCAUGCCUGCUAAUCUUCAUAUGGUCAAAACAGUUAAAAGGAUCCUGUUGUGGUUCGCUAUUUGUUCAGGUUUGCACAUUAACUUCCAUAAAAGCUCUUUAAUUGGCAUAAAUGUUGGGGAAGAUACUUGUGCUAGUAUGGCAUCUUCAGUCUUUUGCAGAUUUGAUUUCUUGCCUUGCUCUUAUCUAGGCAUGCCUUUGGGAUCCAAUCCUAAAAGAUUGUCUACAUGGAAGCCUAUUAUUGAGAAUUUCAGAAGAAAGUUGAGCAUGUGGAGAGGUCGUAUGCUUAGUAUGGCAGGACGUAUUUGCCUAAACAAAAGUGUCUUAAGUUCAUUGCCAGUAUAUUAUAUGUCUUCUUUUCUUAUGCCGAAAGGUGUCUGUAAUAUACUAACAUCUAUUCAAUGGAGAUUCUUGUGGUCUGGAGUGGCGAAGCAAAAGAAAAUCUGCAAGGUUCAGUGGCGUAUUGUUGUGAAAGCUAGAAAAGAAGGAGGCCUCGGGUUGGGUUAUUUAAUGUCUAAAAAUAUAUCCAUGCUUUUCAAAUGGAUAUGGAGACUAAGCUUACCAGACAAUGCCUUAUGGAAACAGGUAACAACUCAUUUUUACUCCCCAACUUUCGAGAACGGAAUCCCAAAAUUGCAUGGUCAUAUUUCCCCAUUUUGGAAAGAUGUUCUGUCAAUCUUGGAUCCAAACAGUGUCAUCGGCUUAGUAUUGCAUGAAAACAUUAAAUUCAAGAUUGGUGAUGGAUCCUCCAUUCUCUUCUGGUCUGAUGUGUGGAUUGGAUCAAAUGCUUUACGUAGCAUUUUCCCUAGGCUUUAUCAAAAUUCUACUUUUCGGAAUGGUUUGGUUAAUGAGAUGGGUCAAUGGGUGAAUGAUCAAUGGCGAUGGAAUUUGGUUUGGCGUAGGAACCUCUUAUCUUAUGAAGAGCAACAAUAUCAUCAUUUGCUCUCAAUGCUGGCGCCAACGAAAAUUCAGCAAGGAAGAGAUGACAAACUUAUAUGGCCAUGCAAUUCUUACGGAAGCUUCUCAGUUAAAUCUUGUUGCACCCUAAUUGAUAAUACCUCCUCUGCGAAUGAUAGAGUUUUCGAAGCCAAUGUUUGGAUUAAAGGGGCCCCUCUAAAAGUUCAGGUGUUUCUCUGGUUAACAGUACAGGACAAAGUUAGUACAAGAGCUUUCCUUCAUCAACGGACUGUUUUGUCUGCCACACAAGCUUCAUGUGUCUUUUCCAGCUCAGAUUUGGAAACCUCAGAGCAUCUUUUCAUACAUUGUAACUUUUCUAGGAGUGUUUGGAUGAAAGUUUUGGAUUGGUGAGGUAUCCAAUGUUGUUUACCGAAAACACUUGACUCGUUGCUUUUGUAGUGGCCCGAAAUGGUACAUGGCAAAUUCCAAAGAUCAGCUUGGAGACUAAUUUCAAGUAGUACUAUUUGGGGUAUUUGGUUACUGAGGAACAAAAUUGUUUUUGAGGAGGGAACUAUAAACUUGUUUGAUUGUUUCUCCACCAUCCUUCAUCGGGUUGCUAUUUGGUUGCAUACUCAGGAUUCAAACUUCACUUAUAUAGGAAAUGACCUCUUAAGAUCUUCUGAUGGCAUCAAAUUGUGGUGUAAUAAGAAAUCUUAGGUAGUCUUUUUGUUGUUUGCUGUAGUAGAUCAGUUUUUUAGGUUUUUUUUUUUUCAUAUCCCUUGUAUUUUUCUUUGGCUAUUGGCUUUAUGGCCUUCUUAAUAUACUCUCGAUGAUUAUCAAAAAAAAAAAAAAGCUAAGUUUAUUAUGUCAAUGUGAAAAGGUUUCACUAAUGGUGUUAUAAUAAGUAUAAUAUAAACUCAACAUGGACUUCAAUAUUUAUAUCCAAGAAAGUUUGUUAUUGACAUGUCUUAUCAUUUUUAUCUUAUCAAUUCUUAAUACCUUGCUUAUUAAAUGGUUAAUCUAGAUUUGUGUUAUACAACCUUUGGUACAACAAAUACUUGACUCUUUUAUAGCCUACUGCAUGGUAUAACCGACAGUUGUGCUGUGAAAUGAACUUGAUUUGUUGUUAACAUAAGUUAACAUCAUGAAUACCUAACAAUAUUUACAAGAUUGGUGUUACUUAAAUAAGAUAAUUAAUAUGAUCAUGUAAAUACUUUAUAAUGAAAAGAGUUUAUACUAUACUUAUUUGAAAUAUCAUUAGUGAAUCUUUUAACCUUGAUAAUUGUUCUAUCUUUAUUUAAUCCUUACAUCAAUAUCACAUAAAAUUCUCCUCAACUCUUUGUUUUAUUAUAUAUAUUAUUUGUAAUUUAUAUAGUUCAUCUCCUUGUGGUUCGACCCUAGUCUUGUCGGGUUAUUUAUUACUUCGACACUCUUGCAUUUGGGAUAAAACAUCAAUCAUUUGAUCAUGUCCCUUGCUAAUAAGUCAAGUCUUCCAAACACAUCUAUUUGCAAGAUUACUUGGAGGGCUUUGAUGAUACUUGCAUGAAAAAACUACAAAGUAAUAUUAAUUCUUGGGCCUACGUGGUAUUUUAUACAAUGUACAUAUCUCUAUAAAUAUAUUUAUAAAUAUCUAGGAUAGUUAUAAGAUAUUAAUAUUAAAUAUCUUAUAACUUAGAUAUUUAUAUAAAAUAUAUUAAAACUUAAAUAUUUAUCUUAAAAAAAUUUAUAUAAAUAAAUAUAUUUAGAAGUAUAAAGAAAGAAGUUAGAAGGCUAGAGCUCAGCUCUCUAGACAAUGUAAGGCUUUAAUAUAUUAAGUUAAGCAUUAGAAUAUUUUUUGUUUGCAAGUGUUAUAAGGCUCACAAAGUUCUUCAGAUCUAGUUUUUUCAACCCAUGAAAAGUGCUCCUAAUUUUUCUUUUGAGGACUUUUUCCAACCCCAUCACAACUAUUAAAAACAUGUGGGGUUGAUGAAGAACACAACAUUGAUGAAUCUCAUAUUCCUUGCUUAAAAACACGAAACCUAAUAACCACUGCAACUAGUUAUACAACUUUCAGAUAAGAGAUAAAAAUCGAGUAUUAGACCUUAACAUUAAUAAGGAGGUUCACCAAACUUCUCAUCCAUUUAACCAUAUAAAUAUAUAUAUUUUUUUAUUCUGUAUUUUUCCUAUUUGUACUAAGAUCACCAUAUAUAUAUUUUUUGUACAUGUCUCCUUUUUUCUCUCUUUCUCUCAUUUUUUUUUUUUUGCUUCUUUGAUCUUAUAUGGUAUUAGAGCAUUUUUUUUAACAACAUCCAUGACUUUCCCAGAUAAUCUCUCUUGCAUUUUUAGUAAUAAAGAAUAAGAACCUCCCUUUUCUCUCCCAACGAACCAACAAUCUAUAACAUCUGCAUUGCUGCUACUUUAGAAUGCUUAUUGUCAAGGGUGGACCUAGAACAUGGGUUAUAAGUGUCAUGGACCUCCAUGUUCAAAAAACGUUUAAGACCCAUAUAGAAUUUGGUCUAAUUUUAAUACCUUGUAAUUACCUCCCCCAAACAAACUUUUAGUUAGCCCUCCCAAAAAUCAUCACCCUUAAUCCUAGAUUUUUGGUUCUGUAUACACUACCACUGUUGUGAUGGAAUGGACCUUUUAUAUAUAUAUAUAUAUAUAUAUAUAGCUAUCAAUUCAAAUAUGCAAACAAAUUGAGUAAUAUACAACUAAUAUUAAUAUUAGGGAAUCACAAAAAUUCCCAUACACCAGCAUUAAAACACAAUUCUUUUUAUUUUCUUUUUGGCCUCUUCUUGACUAUACUAUCUAUUUUCUUAACUCUUCAUUUGUAAUUCUUUACAAACAAGCCCUUACUCUUACAUAUAAUUAUAUAUACUUCACAAUAAUAACUUUAUAUCAUGUUGUAUAUUGGAUUAUCAAAGUUGUGGCCUAUCCAUGCAGUUAGCUUAUUUCUAUCUGAUGUAUUUGAUUUUCCUUCCUAUAAUCAUCUAAAAAACAUCUAAUAUGUAGAUCCCCACUUAAAUAACCAACUCAUAAACACCUGGUUCAUAACCCUACUUAUGUGGUCCGUAUAUCAAUUUCUGAUCAGUAAUCCUCACUCAUGUGGUUAGCUUAUCAAUUAAUUUUAUAUUUAUUAGAUUAUUAAUUUCUGAUUAGUAAUUCCAACUCAUGUGGUCGGUUCAUCAAUUAAUUUUAUAUUUUUUGUUUUGGGAUGCAAACGCAAUACCAAGAAAUUUAAAAGUAAUGUUGCUUUAACUAAAAGCAAGGUGGAGAGCAUCUUUUUGCUACAUCUGAUGAUCUAGUUCCUUAUGUCAAGGAUCCAGCCGCUAGUGCAUCUCUUUAUAAGAAAGAAGGUUUACAAAUUUUGAAAUUCAUGAAUUUAUGUUCACAUUAUCAUUGUUCAAUUCAUAUCAAGACAUUUCAUUACACCUUAAUUUAUACGCCUUUCAAUGAGUCCAUUUCUUAUUUCCAUUAUCUUAUAUAUUAAUUUCCUUGCUUUACAAUAAUACACAAUACUGAUGUUAGAUUUCUUUACAUCAAAGUUUACCGUCAACUUUAUUACACAACAACAUUUACUAGCAUCAUUUUUCUUUUAGUUAAAAUAUUAUUUAUUUUAUUUGACUCAUUCCCAAUCUUAUAACUUAGUCAAAUCUUUAAUUUUAUUUAAUAUGCUAAUAUUUUCCACAUUGCAUUGCAUAUACAACUUUUCAUAAUUCACAACUUACCACUUAAUUUCCAUAACUACCUUGAAAUUUCUAAACACACAAAGUCAACACAAUAUAUUAUAAUGAGUAUUCAUUUUAAUUCUUGUUCUUUUAAUUUUGUUUUUACAAUAAUUAGAAAUUAAAUUAUACAAAAAUAUUGUCCUGCCAUCAACAUCCGAUACGUGGCAUCAUUGUUCAAUAUGAAAAGCUUAAAAAAAAUUUAAGGGCAAUGAAAAUAUAACUUUUAAGGUCUAAAUUGUACAUCAUCAUUGUUCACUAGCAUCCAAGCUAUGUAAAAUCUCAAAAAUCAAAUAAAGAAAAAUUAUAACACAACAUAAACAAGGGAUAAUUGCAUUAACAGUACACCAAUUUUAAUCCUUUUUAUCAAUCAAAUGCAUGAAUUUUAUUUUAUUUUUGUUUAAAUACUUUUUUUUAUCCAAACUCUGUUAGUUACUCCUUUUUUUGUUUACGUGUACUUUGGCAUUGCAUUUAUUGAAAAAAAUUGCAACAUUGAUAUACCAACUUUCAGUUUUCAUCAGUCAAGUAAAUAAACUUCAUUAUUUUUUUUUCAUUUUAGUACACCAUUUUUCAAAAAUCUCAUACAAAAACAAGCUGAUCCCUUCUAUAAAUUUAAUUUUUAUUAAAAAUAUUCAAAAUAUCCAUCCCCAUAAAUCGGGAGUAAUAACCACUGGCCAGGAAAGGUGCCUUGGGCUCUGAAUUCUCACAACCACGGAGAGCUUUCAGAGACCGUUUACACAUGUAGAAUUAUAAAUCCAUAAGCAUACCAAGAUGGAUGGUAAGCAAUAAAACGUUGUGUAGACGUCUAAAUCUUAAUUGAUUACAAAUGAAGCUCCAAGCAUUUCUAUGGCUUUAUUCAAAUUAAAGACGAGGUUUCACUGAGGUUUAAACUUAUGGACUCGGGAUUGAUGGGGUAGAGAUCAUGGGCAGAUGUUGAGGAAUUUCCAAUCCAUGAUUUAUUAGAUGGAGGAAAGAGGUCUUGUGUGCUGUUUAAACUCUGGUCUGUGACCUGCUGAUAGUGGCCUUUGAGACGUUUGGAGUGUAAAUCAUCACCAUAAUGCUAGGAUCUGAGGUCACCUCCUGGAUGCUGGUCUGUCCUUCAAGCAUGCUCACCACUUCUGACAUUGCAGGCCUUAGAGAUGGAGAUACAUUGGUUCAUAAGAGAGCCGCUUUGAUCUGUUGGUGGGAAAGGCCACUGGUGGUGGUUUUAAAUACUCAGAGGAGAUGAAACACACUGUUAUUAUUUCAAAAAAAUAACAAGAAGAUUACAAGCACUCAAACUGACCCACUCUUUCUCUCUUGUAUUUUCCACACACAUUACAAUGUUCUCUUGAUGCCUAUUUAUAGACAUAAACGGUAAAACAGAAAAAAAAAACAGAGAACAUGCAGAAUAUAUUCCACCAGCUCAUCCUUCAACCUUUACUAAAGUAGAUGAGUUGUUCCACUUUGUUGCUUUAAUGGAGUAGGACUACUUCACAUGGUCAUGUUCAAACAGCUGGACCUUAUGAUUGAGUUUACAGCAACAAAUUUCCCCUUUAAACUCAAUUGAGUGAUGUCAUUCCAAGCAUGAAUUUCAAUCUGAUAAAUAUCUCCCCUUUCAAUGGUUUUGUAAAGAUAUCUGCAACUUGAUCAGUUGUUUUGCAAGAUAUAAGUUCAACUUUUUUGUUCUUCACAUCUCUCGGAUAAAGUGAUGACGUGUAUCGAUGUUUUUACUUCUUUCAUGAUACACUGGGUUCUUUGCUAAUGCAAUCGCUGAUCGAUUAUCAAUAUAAAUCUCUGUAGGAUUUUCUUGUGGAAAUCCCAAAUACUUCAACAUAUUUCUUAACCAUAUUGAAUGACAUACAGCUGAGUUGGCAGCAACAUACUUAGCUUCACAGCUUGAUAACGUUACUAUCGAUUGCUUCUUGGAUAUCCAUGUGAAAGAUGUAUCUCCCAUGAAAAAAACAAAUCCUGUUGUGCUUUUUCUUUCAUCCAGAUCUCUACCCCAAUCACUAUCCGAGUACCCAACAAGAUUGAAGGUUUUACUUGAAGUGUAAAACAUACCUUUCAUUUAUCGUUCCUUUGAUGUAGCGAAGAAUUCUCUUGGCUGCAUUCAAGUGAGACUGGUCUGGUGUAUCCAUAUAUCUGCUGAUAAGUCCAACUCCGUAAAGUAUAUCCGGUCUGGUACAUGUCAAGUACCUCAAGCUUCCUAUUAAGCUUUUGAAGUAAGUUAGAUCAACAUUUCCAGCUUUACUCUUUCUUAAUUCCACUCCAUUCUCAACUGGAGUUGAUAUUGGAUUGCAGCUUUCCAUCUUGAACCUUUCAAGAAUAUUUGUAGCGUAGUCGCUUUGAGAUACAAAAAUCCCUUCUUCUUUUUGCAUUACUUCCAGACCAAGAAAGUGUGUCAUUAGACCAAUGUCUAUCAUCUCAAACUGUUGUACCAUACUAUUCUUGAAGUUUUCAAACAUGGUAGGAUUGUUGCUGGUGAUAUCAAAUCAUCAACAUAUAGGCAUACAAAAAGUGUGCUUCCAUCAGCUUCUUUCUUCACAUACAUCGCGUGUUCAUAUGGACAUUUCUCAAAUCCAUUCUCUUGAAAGUAACUGUCAAUUAUGGUAUUCCAAGCAUGCGGAGAUUGCUUCAAACCAGAGAGAGCUUUCUUCAACUUGUAUACUUUAUCUUCAUUUCCAGCUUCAAUGUAUCCAAGUGGUUGUUCAACAUAGAUCUCUUCUUCUAGGAAGCCAUUCAGAAAUGCUGACUUCACGUCGAGUUGAUAGAUCUUCCAUCUAUGUAGUGCAGCUAAUGAGAUCAUCAAUCUGAUUGUCUCUAGCCGGGUUACUGGAGCAAAUACUUCUCCAUAGUCAAUUCCUGCUCUCUGUUUGUAGCCUUUUGCCACUAAUCUUGCUUUGUAUCUUUGUACUUCGCCUUUUGCAUUCUUUUUCGUCUUAUAGACCCAUUCGACACUUAUUGCUUUCUUGUUUUCUGGUAGAUUAGUCAGCUUUCAAGUAUCAUUCUUCUCAAUGGCAUGCAUUUCUUUAUCCAUUACUUCUAUCAACUUCUCUUCUGUAACAGCUUCAUUGAAGCUAAGUGGGUCACUAUUCGUGAAGAAACAAAAUAGAGUUGUAUCUUCUAUGACUAGGGUGGCAUCGUACAACUCUUCUAGAUUUCUCAUCCUUCUUGGUUCUUCUGAUGAGGAUGCUGAUGGUGGUGUUGAUGAUGAUCCUGAUGUGUUUCUACUGUUGAAUAUAGGGAAUCUGUGUACCGGACUUUGUGGCUCAUCUGCUGGUAACAUUGGACUUUCUGCUGUUGGUACUUCCACUUCGUUUUCAAGGAUCAAAUCAGUGCUGAUCCAUUUGACUGCUUCUUGAUCAUCAUUUCAUUGCCAAGUUUUAUCUUCUUCAAAGAUAACAUCUCUACUCAUAAUUACCUUCUUUGUGAUGGGAUUAUAUAGCUUGUAUCCCAUCCUUCUAUCACCAUAUCCGACAAAGAUGCAUUUCUCACUUUUAUCAUCGAGUUUGGUCCUUCUUGCAUCUGAGAUUUUUGCAUAUGCCACACAACCAAAGACUCGAAGAUGAGUAACACUUAGUUUGUGACCACUCCAUGCUUCUUCUGGAGUGAUAGCUUGCAAACUUCUGGUUGGGCAGCGAUUCAGUAAAUACACUGCAUAUGAUACAGCUUCAGCCCAGUAUUGUUUGGGUAGCUUCUUUGCUUUGAGUAGACUUCUUGUCAUGUCAAGAAUUGUUCGAUUCUUUCUCUCAGCUACACCAUUCAGUUGUGGUGUAUAGGCAGGCGUUGUCUGAUGCCUGAUGCCUUGUUGUGUACAAAAAACUUCAAAGUCAUUUGCUGUAUAUUCUCCAACUUGAUCAGAUCUCACGGUUAUGAUCUUAUAGCCACUUUGCUUCUCAACAAUUGCUUUAAAAUCUUUAAAACAAUUCAACACUUCUGACUUCCUCUUCAGAAAGUAUACCCAUGUCUUCCUGCUAAAAUCAUCAAUAAAAGUAAGGAAGUACCUAUUUUGUCCAGUUGACAUAGGAUUUAUGGGACCACACACGUCUGUGUGCACUAACUUCAGUGGCUUAUUUGCCUUUCAGUUGACUUCUUUGGCAAAACUGGAUCUGUGAUGUUUGCUAAAGACACAACUCUCAGAUACUUCAUCUGGAUGAUACGUUGGACAUACCUUUUUAUCAAUCAAAUGCAUGAAUUUUAUUUUAUUUUUUUUAAUGCACCAACUCAAUUAAGAAUUCUAAUCAAGCACUUUCAUCCAAACUCUGUUAGUUACUCCUUUUUUUGUUUACGUGUACUUUGGCAUUUAUUAAAAAAAAAUGCAACAUUGAUAUACCAACUUUCAGUUUUCAUCAGUCAAAAAUCACAGAUACAGUUUUUUCACUUUCAUCCAAACUUCAUUAUUAUUUUUUUCAUUUUAGUACAGCAUUUUUCAAAAAUCUCAUACAAAAACAAGCUGAUCCCUUCUAUAAAUUUAAAUUUUAUUAAAAAUAUUCAAAAUAUCCAUCCCCAUAAAUCGGGAGUAAUAACCACUGGCCAGGAAAGGUGCCUUGGGCUCUGAAUUCUCACAACCAUGGAGAUAGCUUUCAGAGACCGUUUACAUAUGUAGAGGGCUGUUUGUGAGGAAGGGCUGAUUCGGCAAGAAAGGGGUUGGAAUUUUUGGGUAUGAUCCUGGUUAAAUGCUGGACAUAAUUUAUGCCUUGUGUCUUGCGUAUUUCUUUCUGGCCCCCAAGCUUUAUUCACAGUUCUCUAUUUAUAAUUCAAGAGUCUGUAGUCAUAUCAAAUUCAAGAAUCUCACACAAAAACAAGCUGAUUCCUUCUUUUAAUUUAAUUUUUUUUAAAAAUAUUCAUAAUAUACAUCCCCAUAAAUCGGAAGUAAUAAUCAUUGGCCAGGAAAAGUGUCUGGGGCUCUGAAUUCUCACAACCACGGAGAUAGCUUCCAUAGACCGUUUACAUAUAUAGAAUUAUAAAUCCAUAAGCAUACCAAGAUGAAUGGUAAGCAACAAGACGUUGUGUAGACGUCUAAAUAUUGAUCAUUAUGUGAUUACAAACGAAGCUCCAAGCAUGUCUUUGGCUUUAUUCAAAUUAAAGACGAGGUUUCACUGAGGUUUAAACUUAUGGACUCGGGAUUCAUGGGUAGAGAUCAUGGGCAGAUGUAGAGGAAUUUCCAAUCCACGAUUUAUCAGAUCGAGGAAAGAG
RNAcentral lists this long non-coding RNA (43788 nucleotides) under Populus trichocarpa (black cottonwood). Its description in RNAcentral is "long non-coding RNA (PTRI_LNC004373)". The record is from RNAcentral. Lineage: Eukaryota; Viridiplantae; Streptophyta; Magnoliopsida; Malpighiales; Salicaceae.